RNAcentral lists this long non-coding RNA (3425 nucleotides) under Homo sapiens (human). RNAcentral's name for it is "non-protein coding ID2-AS1:14". Lineage: Eukaryota; Metazoa; Chordata; Mammalia; Primates; Hominidae. The record is from RNAcentral.
GUUGUUGUUGUUGUUGUGCAAAGAAUAAAAGAAAUCAUGAACACCUGCGAAAGAGUGGGGGAGAAAGGCAUGUUUAAGAGAAUGUAACCUAAGGGCAGAGGCGGGCGACUGGCGCCGGGAGGAAGCCACAGUUUGAACAUUUAACCAAACACUCAAAGAUUGGGCAAACCCUGGCGUCCAGAUGCAACACACACACUCGCCUCGACAGCGCAAAUUAAACAUUAAAAUAGCAGAGACUCAAGGGAAAAACUUCCCAACCCAAUCUCCUAUUUGGAUCUCCAACAGCAGUGCUACAGGCGCCAGUCUGCUUCUCGUAACAAUUAUUUGAUUGAAAACAGCCCUUUAGUUAACAGAUAGGGAAGUCUGGGAUCCCACAUCACAGGGUUGAAGGCACAGGGUAGCAAUCCUCAACUAGCCCAGAGAAUCCCAGAGGACUAUAGUUUUAGGGAAGGAGGAUCACUAUGGAAUUUGUGGCGGUAAGAUUAAUUACAGUGGAGGUUAGUACCUCAUAGUACCAGAGGACUCGUAGGAAGAUCCAGGGCAUUACAUUUGCUACAAAGCCAAUACACACGUUCCUCGGCCGCCUUCGUAGUAAGUUAUUGGCAUCAUUUCCUUUUAAAGGAAAAUGUUCUGUGAUCUCGAGCACCCAAAGCUACAAGCUCCUUCAUGUCUAGUGAGACAAUGUAGUACGGGUAACACCGCGAAGUAAGCAUGCAUUUACCAAAUCAGACAUUUUAUAGAUACACAAGCAAAAACACAUGCGCGCGCGCGCACACACACCGAGGGGCAGUUUACCCACGGGUGGCACAAGCAAACACUCACCGCUUAUUCAGCCACACAGUGCUUUGCUGUCAUUUGACAUUAACUCAGAAGGGAAUUCAGAAGCCUGGAAAGAAAGAGGAUAAAGAGUACGAGGUUAAGACAAUGUUAAGUAGAAAGGGUUUUUUUUUUUUUUUUUUUUUUUUUGUAGUCCACAGACCAGCAAGUUCCAUUAAACACGUUUAUGGUAACAAUUCAGAUUUAAAGACAGACGCAUUAACAUGUCAGAACUUACUAGCAAUUUCACGCACAGCUCAAUCUACAGCAGAUUCUGAAGAAAAUAAAGUUAAAUAGCUCAUACGAAAGUCACCGUCUGGGCUACGGAUCUCCUAGUGACAGCCCAGACGACCGCGGGAGUGUGCGGCGGCGGGGCGGGGACCCCGGAGCAGGUCUUACCUGCAAGGACAGGAUGCUGAUAUCCGUGUUGAGGGUGGUCAGCGGCGUCCUGGACGCCUGGUUCUGCCCGGGUCUCUGGUGAUGCAGGCUGACAAUAGUGGGAUGCGAGUCCAGGGCGAUCUGCAGGUCCAAGAUGUAGUCGAUGACGUGCUGCAGGAUUUCCAUCUUGCUCACCUUCUUGUUCUGGGGGAUGCUGGGCACCAGCUCCUUGAGCUUGGAGUAGCAGUCGUUCAUGUUGUAUAGCAGGCUCAUCGGGUCGUCCACAGGGGUUUUGCUCCGGGAGAUGCCCAGGCUGUGGUCCGACAGGCUGUUUUUCCUAACGGACCUCACGGGACUGAAGGCUUUCAUGCUGACCGCGAGGGAAGGCGAGACCGGGAGGGAGCUGGCUGCCCUGAAGCUCAGGCCGCCGCUGCCGCCUGCUGAGCUAGCUGCGCUUGGCACCGGGCUCGGCUCAGAAUGAAGCCCGAGCCCGGCGGGGCGGCUUUUAUCCGCACUCGCCGGGGCCACACGCUGGAGCUUCCCUUCGUCCCCAUUGGCGGAAGGUGGCACGUCUAUCAAGACGAGCGGGCGCUUCCAUUGGUGGGCGCGGGCGCGGGGCGUGGGCUUGGUUCUUCCGCGUUCGCAGCCAAUCCCCGCGGGGUGGGCGGGGCGCGAGCCCAGCUGGGGUGGUAAAUAGAGUACAGUACAAAAGCGGAAGGGGCAGGCCUAGAAGCUGAAAGAAAAGCUCGAUAAUGGGGAAACAGUGUUUUUUCCUUCAAUUAAUGAUUAAUUUCUCAGCUGGUGGGGCCAGCAGUCUCUGACCGUCACGUGACAGCUAUGCGCCCCAUGACGCCUCUCCAGGGAGGCAGAGUGGGUGGCACUGAGGUGGAGCUCACCUUCCUGAAAUUCAGCCCCCUCAGUUUGGAGGAAGGAGGUAAACUGUUUCCUGUCCAGCCAGAAGUUUGCGGAGGGCCUUCCCCAGGCCAGGCAAUGCUGCCUGCGACUCUGUCCCUGACAGCGUUGGAUGCACCGUAUCUCUUCUGAUAUUAAGUCUGGAAGUGAUUUACUAUCCGAGUCCUCCCACAGUUCGAGCCUUUUGAUGUACUUUGUGUGCAUGUGUUUCUGUCACAUACGUGCCACAGUGGAACAGAUUUUGUUUUGACACUAUUUUGGUUCAUGAUGUUAUACUUUGACUAUUUUACAAUAAUAGCCAAUGUAAACAAACAUCUUUGGGAUUCUCAAAUUAUUACUUAUGAUUCUUGGACAUUGCAGCUCUUCGAUACUGACGCAUUCCUAGCUUUUUCCAAGGACACCGUAUGUUAACAUCCGUGCCAGCCUCAUUAUCCCCACAGCCAGGCUCUGGGUUGGGCGGUAAUGAGCAUUGUGCGGUUUCACUUUACACUUUGCAAAGUUGAUUAAGGCAGUGCCUUCUCCCAUGAUCAUUUUUGUACCCUGAUGUAGUAAAAUGGCUAAAUAUGGUGAAAGUUUUCUGGUGUUUCUUUCUUUAGCUGCCAUGUCAGAGUCCAGUCUGCCUGGCUGUGUUGAAUUCGAUUCUAUUGGCACGCUACCCAGUUUUACAUUCAUUUAAAGAUCAUUUAAAGGGGAUUACGAAGCUGUAUAAGUUAAUGAUUUAAACGAGGCCUAAGUUACUAGUGUGUCUGUUUCAGCACGCCCAAUAUGAAAUCACCUUAAAAAUUGCUUUCGUGGGGGAAAAUCGUGUCGGAGCAUUUUCCAAGUGGGUUUAAAGGCAAGUCAAAAUCUGUCAAUUGGUGGCUUGGGUGGGUUUGCAUUUGAGGCCUCCAAAGUUCAAACGGCCCCAGCUAGAGGGAGGGCUAGAUCCGCGGGCGGUGGGAAGGUGUGCAGGGCUUCCGCUGGUGGGUGUUGGUGCGGUUCCCCUCGACUCCCCACCGGGACGCCCCCACCCCGUGGCAGCGACAGACCGGCCCGUAAGGUCCCCCAGCCUGGCUCCAGGACUCACUCACUCCGCCUCUAGGGCAGGCCCCGCGGCGGCUCUCGCGUCCGGGCCCCUCGCGGUAAUCAGAAGCAGCUCCGGGCCGGGAGCUCCGCGCUGGCCAGGCCGCCUUUGCCACCCCCGCGUGAUGCGCCGGGGGGCGGGAGGAGCCUGCGGGGGCGGGGGGCGCGUCUCAAGGUCCUCCCUGCACAUCUGGCGCAAUGGGGAGCGUUCGCCUUUCUUUCCCGGGUUUUGUUCUCACAGCUGUGUCCAUUCCGCC